Molecule: long non-coding RNA, 460 nt
Filed under: Mus musculus (house mouse)
Lineage: Eukaryota; Metazoa; Chordata; Mammalia; Rodentia; Muridae
Description: predicted gene 45686
Source: RNAcentral
GCCCACACACAGCUUCAUCACUCCACACACUGCCAGGAAGGGCUGCUGUGAGAAGCCUCUACAUUAAAGGACAGUUGAGAAGAAGCUGGUCACGCUUCCAUCACCUCCACUCAUUUUAUUUCAAGAAGAGAAAAACUGGAGGACGUUUGCAUAAUUCCAUUCCACCAAUCCUGCUUCUGUGGUGCCUCGUCAGUGACCAAAUGCAUCGCUUCAUCUCCUCAGUGCUGAUCAUUACACCUCUGCGCUGCCAGGCCACAUCAAGCAGCAGGGCUGCCUUCCACUACAACACCAACUCCAGAAAGAAUGUGAUUACAUUGACCUUGCCCCUCCUCAAAACAAUGCUCUGUUCUCUCCCUGGGAGCCCAGGAAGGGACCACACUCAACUCAUCUCUUAAAAGAAGAUAGGUCAACCUCUCUAGUAACGCCCACCACCACCCCUCAGUGUUUAAUGCUAACCACU